GAUGAAGAACGUAGCGAAAUGCGAUAAGUAAUGUGAAUUGCAGAAUUCCGUGAAUCAUCGAAUCUUUGAACGCACAUUGCGCCCUCUGGUAUUCCGGGGGGUAUGCCUGUCCGAGCGUCAUUUGCAACCCUCAAGCCCGGCUUGUGUGAUGGGUGCCGUCCCCUACGGGACGCGCCCCGAAGGCAAUGGCGGCGUCGCGGUUAUCCGAUCAGCCAAAGUGUAUGGGGCUUUGUCACUCACUUUACGGCGCGGACCGGCGCCAGUCCGAAUCAAUCUUUUUUCUAAAGUUGACCUCGGAUCAGGUAGGGAUACCCGCUGAACUUAAGCAUAUCAAUAAGCGGAGGA
Molecule: unclassified non-coding RNA, 345 nt
Filed under: soil metagenome
Description: partial contains 5.8S ribosomal RNA, internal transcribed spacer 2, and large subunit ribosomal RNA
Rfam family: 5.8S ribosomal RNA (bases 1-120)
Source: RNAcentral